This 71-nucleotide transfer RNA is filed under the name Marmota monax (woodchuck). RNAcentral's name for it is "tRNA.Glu". It matches the Rfam family "tRNA". Rfam says of the family: Transfer RNA (tRNA) molecules are approximately 80 nucleotides in length. The record is from RNAcentral. Lineage: Eukaryota; Metazoa; Chordata; Mammalia; Rodentia; Sciuridae.
GAGGUUGUGGCUCAGCGGUAGAGCACUCGCUUCUCACAUGUGAGACCCUGGGUUCGAUCCUCAGCACCACA